RNAcentral lists this unclassified non-coding RNA (190 nucleotides) under uncultured Glomeraceae. Its description in RNAcentral is "partial internal transcribed spacer 2". Lineage: Eukaryota; Fungi; Glomeromycota; Glomeromycetes; Glomerales; Glomeraceae. The record is from RNAcentral.
UAAAUAAAAAUCGGGGUUGUUGCUGCCCUUUCGUGGUGACGCUUCGGAAUUGGGUCGUCUUUACCUUUCGGUUAAGUGACCUAAAAGUUUUACGUGAUUUUUCAACGUGUUUAAAUUUUUUUACACGCGUUUGUAACAUCGAAUAUUAGAUGUGGUCAUUCUCAUGACUUCACGUCUAUAAUUUAUCAUC